RNAcentral lists this long non-coding RNA (2771 nucleotides) under Taeniopygia guttata (zebra finch). RNAcentral describes it as "lncRNA (ENSTGUG00000028927.1)". Lineage: Eukaryota; Metazoa; Chordata; Aves; Passeriformes; Estrildidae. The record is from RNAcentral.
UAAUUGCAACUGCAUUUCUCACCAGGGCCCUACAUGUCCUAAGUGCCCUCCAUGCUCUCCACAGGUAUGAAAAUCUCAGUCUUCCUCCCACAGAGCUCACAGUUUAAAACCCAAGGUGGGAAGUCACUAAUUCCUGUGAUGGCUGCUCAGCCUUUGCCUCAGGAAUUCAUCAAAAAGAGAAUUUUCUCUAAGAGGGCCACAGGACACAGUGUGCACAGAAAAAGUCGGUAGAGGAAGGAAACCAGACAAAUACAGCAUUCUUGAAAAAAAAAAUAGAAAAAGAGUAUCUGUGUGUGUCCUUUCAGUUAGGAAGGUUUACAAAGUAGCUUCACAAUGAGAAACAGUGCUUGCUUCAGAGGUUUUACAGACCCAGCAAUCAGAAUGAAAUAGCAGGAAAGGGAAAGGCAGAAGCAGGAGACCUGUGCUUCCCUGCCUUACACGGAGCAACUAUGCUCAGUUUGCAGGUCCAAGGCAUUUUUAAGCCUAUAAAUAAACUGGGGACGUUAAUGAAGCCAUUAAUCUCGGCUGGCCGCCGUCCCAGCUAUUUUCAGUGGCGAGGUUACCUUGCCUCUCCCGGCAGAAGCAGGUCCCGAGGGGCUCGGGCGAGCAGCAGGGACGGAUGCCGUGUGCCCGGGGCCGCCGCCCUGGGCGGGAGGACACCGGACACUGCCACCGUCCUUGGCAGCACACCGGGAGGAGGUGUCCCGAGCGCCAGCCCUCCUGGCUCCCAGCCUGCAGGGAAACACGAAAACAGACGUCAGAUAAUAAACAACGAGAAAAAGCCGAAUGCUGCCGGCUGCAGAGGGAGGCUGGUGACUGCUCCUGCCUGCAGCCCUUAGGCAGAAAUGCCUUCUUCAUCUCCUACAAGGAGGUAGCCACGAUGGAGACCAUUUGCUCCUCUGGAGCUGCUGGGAGCCUGCUCCGCACCCCUGCCUUUCCAAGGACAGCAAGUGCAGAGCUCGGAGCUACAGGGUGGAGGGGGAGCCUGGGAGGGGCAGGCCAGGGCACCCCAGCACACGCGUCUAGGGCAGGAAUGGCUGGGGUGCAGGUCCCUGCGAGAACAAGGUCUGCCCUGAGACAGCUUCCUGCCCCUCACACCCGCAGUCACUGCUUCCCUCACAGGCAGAGGGGAAGAAGAGCUCCCUUUCUUUUCCACCCAGGAGGAGCAGGAAUGUCAUGCACUUGGAUGGUAAAAGCUGCUUUUUCUCCUUCCUGCUAUGAGGAGAGAAGCCCUGGUACAGCAUCUGCUCGGGAAAAGAGCAGCCCAGCAUUUGCCCUCAGUGCUCAGCUGGCACCCAGAGCUGGUUUGCCUGUGGGCAGUGUAGCCCUGAGGUUCAUCUUACAAAGGUACCUCUUACAAAUGCUUGCCUUACCUUACAAAGUAUACCAUGCUUUUGUUUAUUUGACUAUUUCUUUCACAAUAUGCCAGGAAGAAAUUUAUUCCUAGCAGUGAACGAGGUUCACACUCACUGAAAACUGGUGCCUUUGAAAACCACAUCUACAUAUUGUUUUCCUUUGACCUGCCCCCUCAGGUAUCCAAGGUGGUCAGAUACCACCACAGGGGGUUAGAGAAAUUAAUAUUCCUGUACCACCAGAAAACAUUGGCUAACUUUUUCUUUCCUAUUCUGCAAUUACCUCAAGAUGUUGAGACAUUUGCCAAUAAUAUUAUAAAAUAAUUGUUCACACACUGGUCCCACGUGAACAUUUGGCUACUGUAGCUAUUAGGACUUAUACUCCCAAAGCAUUCACUGGCACAGGACCUUUUCCCCAGUUUUCUCAGAAAAUACACACUGUUUUCUGUUCUUUGUGUUGCUUAGUAAUGUUUCCUGAAUUCUUAAUAUCUAUAGUGGUCUGACUGCCAGUUGCUCAUAAUGUACCAUCUAGAAAGAUUUAAGAAAUUUCUCUUAAAUGUUUUUUGUACCUUCUUACAAUGAUAUUUUGGGGCCAGAGGCAGCAAUUUCUCUGUGGAAUACCCAGUUCACUUGACAUGGCUUGCAGCUCACAAAUAGCACAACCUAUUCACUCUCAGGAACAGCUAAGAAAUGCAUUUCAUUUACUUGAGUUUUGCUAUUGCUGUGUCUCAGCUAUAUCCAAUGGACAAUCUGAAGGUGCUACUUAUGCUACAGCUUCCCUGCUGCCGUUCUGUCUGGCAUCUUUUAGGGAUCAUGCAGGAUAUGACUGCUUAAAGGUCCCUGGAGGCCUGGGUUCAUGGCAAAAUUUAGUUCUGCCUACAGCCACUUUGGCAAGCACCUGGAUCCUGCACUGUGCACUGGCUCUGUGAAGUGGGGCUAUGGACUCCCAUGUCAGUGGCCAUCUGAGACACCUACCCCAGUGACAACUGAUAGGAAAUUUCUUUCCUACUUUAAUGAGUCUACGCAGUGUUAAGCCAUGUUUAGCAAAGCUGUCACAAAGGCUCCUGACUGAUCCCUACUGCCUGUAACUGGCACUUUGGGGAGCCCAUCAGCCCCAUUGCCCUCUUGAGAUGCUGCUCUUCCAAAUCUGCUGAUGAAGGGCAGCAGGGAGCAGGCACUGCAGGGAUUCUUUGGCUCCACAGGGGUGUCUGUUUGUCACACCCCCAGCAGCUUUGGCAGACUUGGUGCAGUUGUUAUUAACUCCUAACCUCUACUUCUGGACUUUUCUGGGUAGUUGCUAAGAUGAGAAUUCUCUUUAUCAAUGGAAUUUCAUCAGUUGGGUUUGCUUGCUAUCCACAUCAAAUUCAGAGAUACAGCCAUCUAAAUCUUAUUGGUAUAAACUGCAGCAACAUCACUCUC